GACGAACGCUGGCGGCGUGCUUAACACAUGCAAGUCGAACGGAAAGACCCUGCUUUUGUGGGGUGCUCGAGUGGCGAACGGGUGAGUAACACGUGAGUAACCUGCCCUUGACUUUGGGAUAACUUCAGGAAACUGGGGCUAAUACCGGAUAGAAGCUCCUGCUGCGUGGUGUGGGUUGGAAAGUUUCGGCGGUGGGGGAUGGACUCGCGGCUUAUCAGCUUGUUGGUGGGGUAGGGGCUUACCAAGGCUUUGACGGGUAGCCGGCCUGAGAGGGUGAACGGCCACAUUGGGACUGAGAGACGGCCCAGACUACGACGGGAGGCAGCAGUGGGGAAUAUUGCACAAUGGGCGGAAGCCUGAUGCAGCAACGCCGCGGGCGGGAAGACGGCCUUCGGGUGGUAAACCGAUUUCGCCUGUGACGAAGCGUGAGUGACGGUAAUGGGUAAAGAAGCACCGGCUAAAUACGUG
Molecule: ribosomal RNA, 468 nt
Filed under: uncultured bacterium
Lineage: Bacteria
Description: partial 16S ribosomal RNA
Rfam family: Bacterial small subunit ribosomal RNA
Source: RNAcentral